This 443-nucleotide ribosomal RNA is filed under the name uncultured bacterium. Its description in RNAcentral is "partial 16S ribosomal RNA". It matches the Rfam family "Bacterial small subunit ribosomal RNA", at positions 338 to 795 of the family's 1533-position model. The record is from RNAcentral.
CCUACGGGUGGCAGCAGUGGGGGAUAUUGGACAAUGGGGGAAACCCUGAUCCAGCGACGCCGCGUGAGUGAAGAAGUAUUUCGGUAUGUAAAGCUCUGUCAGCAGGGAAGCAAGAAAUGACGGUACCUGACUAAGAAGCCCCGGCUAACUACGUGCCAGCAGCCGCGGUAAUACGUAGGGGGCAAGCGUUAUCCGGAAUUACUGGGUGUAAAGGGAGCGUAGACGGUAAUGCAAGUCUGGAGUGAAAGGCGGGGGCCCAACCCCCGGACUGCUCUGGAAACUGUGUAACUUGAGUGGAGGAGAGGUAGGCGGAAUGCCUAGUGUAGCGGUGAAAUGCGUAGAUAUUAGGAGGAACACCAGUGGCGAAGGCGGCGUACUGGACUGUAACUGACGUUGAGGCUCGAAAGCGUGGGGAGCAAACAGGAUUAGAUACCCUGGUAGUC